This 738-nucleotide ribosomal RNA is filed under the name Vibrio parahaemolyticus. RNAcentral describes it as "partial 23S ribosomal RNA". It matches the Rfam family "Bacterial large subunit ribosomal RNA", at positions 2200 to 2925 of the family's 2925-position model. Lineage: Bacteria; Pseudomonadati; Pseudomonadota; Gammaproteobacteria; Vibrionales; Vibrionaceae. The record is from RNAcentral.
CCACCCUUGUAGUGUUGAUGUUCUAACGUUGACCCCUUAUCGGGGUUGCGGACAGUGCCUGGUGGGUAGUUUGACUGGGGCGGUCUCCUCCCAAAGAGUAACGGAGGAGCACGAAGGUGGGCUAAUCACGGUUGGACAUCGUGAGGUUAGUGCAAUGGCAUAAGCCCGCUUGACUGCGAGAAUGACAAUUCGAGCAGGUGCGAAAGCAGGUCAUAGUGAUCCGGUGGUUCUGAAUGGAAGGGCCAUCGCUCAACGGAUAAAAGGUACUCCGGGGAUAACAGGCUGAUACCGCCCAAGAGUUCAUAUCGACGGCGGUGUUUGGCACCUCGAUGUCGGCUCAUCACAUCCUGGGGCUGAAGUCGGUCCCAAGGGUAUGGCUGUUCGCCAUUUAAAGUGGUACGCGAGCUGGGUUUAGAACGUCGUGAGACAGUUCGGUCCCUAUCUGCCGUGGGCGUUGGAAGAUUGAAGGGGGCUGCUCCUAGUACGAGAGGACCGGAGUGGACGAACCUCUGGUGUUCGGGUUGUGUCGCCAGACGCAUUGCCCGGUAGCUAAGUUCGGAAUCGAUAACCGCUGAAAGCAUCUAAGCGGGAAGCGAGCCCUGAGAUGAGUCUUCCCUGAUACUUUAAGUAUCCUAAAGGGUUGUCGGAGACUACGACGUUGAUAGGUCAGGUGUGUAAGUGCUGUGAGGCAUUGAGCUAACUGAUACUAAUUGCCCGUGAGGCUUAACCAUACAACAC